RNAcentral lists this ribosomal RNA (253 nucleotides) under uncultured bacterium. RNAcentral's name for it is "partial 16S ribosomal RNA". It matches the Rfam family "Bacterial small subunit ribosomal RNA", at positions 524 to 776 of the family's 1533-position model. The record is from RNAcentral.
UACGGAGGGUGCAAGCAUUAAUCGGAUUUAUUGGGCGUAAAGGGCGCGUAGGCUGAUCAGUAAGUCAGAUGUGAAAUCCCGGGGCUCAACCCCGGAACUGCAUUUGAAACUGCUAAUCUAGAGGGUAGGCGGAGAAAACAGAAUUCCACAAGUAGCGGUGAAAUGCGUAGAUAUGUGGAAGAAUACCGGUGGCGAAGGCGGUUUUCUAGCUUACUCCUGACGCUGAGGCGCGAAAGUAAGGGGAUCAAACAGG